UGGACGGGAUAAGUGCUGAAAGCAUCUAAGCAUGAAGCCCCCCUCAAGAUGAGAUUUCCCAACUUCGGUUAUAAGAUUCCUCAAAGAUGAUGAGGUUAAUAGGUUCGAGGUGGAAGCAUGGUGACAUGUGGAGCUGACGAAUACUAAUCGAUCGAAGACUUAAUCAA
This 167-nucleotide ribosomal RNA is filed under the name Staphylococcus aureus. Its description in RNAcentral is "partial 23S ribosomal RNA". It matches the Rfam family "Bacterial large subunit ribosomal RNA", at positions 2756 to 2925 of the family's 2925-position model. Lineage: Bacteria; Bacillati; Bacillota; Bacilli; Caryophanales; Staphylococcaceae. The record is from RNAcentral.